AGUGGCGGACGGGUGAGUAACGCGUGAGAAUCUGCCUUGGGGUCGGGGACAACCACUGGAAACGGUGGCUAAUACCGGAUAAGCCAAUUGGUGAAAGAUUUAUUGCCCGAAGAGGAGCUCGCGUCUGAUUAGCUAGUUGGUGAGGUAAGAGCUCACCAAGGCAGCGAUCAGUAGCUGGUCUGAGAGGACGAUCAGCCACACUGGGACUGAGACACGGCCCAGACUCCUACGGGAGGCAGCAGUGGGGAAUUUUCCGCAAUGGGCGAAAGCCUGACGGAGCAAGACCGCGUGAGGGAGGAAGGCUCUUGGGUUGUAAACCUCUUUUCUCAGGGAAGAAGCUCUGACGGUACCUGAGGAAUCAGCCUCGGCUAACUCCGUGCCAGCAGCCGCGGUAAUACGGAGGAGGCAAGCGUUAUCCGGAAUUAUUGGGCGUAAAGCGUCCGCAGGUGGCGAUUCAAGUCUGCUGUCAAAGCACGGGGCUUAACUCCGUAAAGGCAGUGGAAACUGAAUAGCUAGAGUGCCGUAGGGGUAGAGGGAAUUCCCGGUGUAGCGGUGAAAUGCGUAGAGAUCGGGAAGAACAUCGGUGGCGAAAGCGCUCUACUGGACGGCAACUGACACUCAGGGACGAAAGCUAGGGGAGCGAAUGGGAUUAGAUACCCC
RNAcentral lists this ribosomal RNA (660 nucleotides) under uncultured bacterium. RNAcentral's name for it is "bacterial SSU rRNA". It matches the Rfam family "Bacterial small subunit ribosomal RNA", at positions 94 to 788 of the family's 1533-position model. The record is from RNAcentral.